This 1513-nucleotide long non-coding RNA is filed under the name Phasianus colchicus (ring-necked pheasant). Its description in RNAcentral is "lncRNA (ENSPCLG00000005501.1)". The record is from RNAcentral. Lineage: Eukaryota; Metazoa; Chordata; Aves; Galliformes; Phasianidae.
AUGGUUGCUUUUUCUGUACCAUGUGGUGAGGGGGAGAGAAAGAGAAAGGGAAAGCUAGGCUCUUGUUUAUUUACUUUCCAAUGGAAAGACCUCAGCUGUUACUACUUAGCAUUGCAAUUCCACAUUAUCUGGAGGAGAUCGGCUGCUGGAGGUUGGAAUGGGGAUACCCUCCCUACAUGGCCAGCAGAAAGGUCUGUUGCUUCCUGCAGCCUCCUUAUGUACUGUGUAGAGGGGCCACGUGCAACACCGUCAAGCCCAAGCCCACAGAGGAUUGAAUGCUCAGCAGCUCUGGACAACAAGGCAUGGUGUGACCCUGCGCCUGCUGAGAACACCAGGACAAGCCAGAGCGGCCUCUGGAAACCACAGAUCUCACUCCAUGCGUCCAUUUCUCUCUCAGGGGAGAGCUAUUUGUGGGUAGACAGCUUUGUAGGAGGGAAAAUAAACAAAACCAACCCCAAAACCACAUUUUGGUCUGAAAAGGUAACUCUGCCUCCAGAAAACAUAACAUCUUGCUGCCUCCAGAAACACACAGCCUGACCCAAACUGGCAAGUACAAAGCAAAGAAAUUUCAGCAGCUGCACUGACAUUCCCCACAGCUUGCCGCAUUCCUCCCACAGGUGGGCAGUUUCCUUUUUAUUGUGGGUUCAGACCUCAUUUCAACUUUCCAAUGGCAGGACCUGCUAUUUAACGUCACAUUCAUCUGCCCCUCUCUCAACCUUCCUUUUUUUUAGCUUUGCAGAAGCAAUUAUUAAACAUGCAUUUAGUCGUGGGGAAAGCUGAACGGCAGUGAAUCUAUUCACCAAGGAGACACACGCUGUGCACUCUGGCCUUUGCUGAAUUGCAGCUGUGCCUGCUUUUGGAGUGCUUCCAGAAGUGCCCUGGAAAGCAAAUACUGAGCAAAAGUGGGAGAACAAUCAGAGCCUUCCUUUUCUCCCAUCCACUGGUUACACCAUCACUAGACCAUACUACAAUUAUACAGCAGGUGAGAUUAUAGUUAAUUAAGAAUUUGAGAGCAGACCUCCUGUAGCCAUGCAGAGAAGCUGUCCAUGUGAUGACAGGAAACAAAGGAUAUGUGAAGAGGCACAUCUCCUCUUGGCUGCUAGUACAGACAGAUGAACACAAGCCUGCAGGGGUAGUUCAGACAUAGCUGUGGGCCAGAGACUGAAGACAGGUGUUUAUGCUGAUUUUCUUGCUGUUGGCUUGUGCCAAGGCUGCUAUGAGAAAAGUGGUCAGCUUCCCCUAUUGCCUUCUACUUCUUUCCUCAGUAGGUGUCAUGGCUACGGGGGGCAAAAACUGCCUGCAGGAAGUUAAACAUAUUUAUACUACUUCCAUGUUUAUCCUUUGGUGAAAUGAAUAAUCCUCAUAUUUAUCUUUGCCAGUUUUGUAAGCUACAGAAAUACACGAUCUACCAGCUCUUAGAAAGUCUUGUCCAGAACUUGGUUUAUAGACUGCUCCAAGAGAAACAACCUCAUACCUGCAAUGGGUAUGGACUUGCAAAAUGUGCUUUUUCUCC